CAGUCUGUCUCAGGAGCUCAGCAGUCCGGAUCAGAGCGCCGAGCUGAAGCUGCAGAGUCGAGCCGUCCUCUGGACGGUCCCUCGAAUCACUGGAGGAACUCAGCUGUCCGCUCUCUUUAAGGUGGAGGUGUCAGGGCUCAGCGCCUCCUCCCUGCUGGAGGUCGGUCCGGUCGCUCUGAGUUUCGAGCUUCCCAAACUGACGGUGACGGGGCUGCAGAUCCGUUUCCUGCGUCUGUCUCCGGUGCAGCCCGGUCCAUCGCAGCGCUGGGUCCGAUACGUCACGCACUCGGACUCCUACAUCAUCCGCAUCUGACCCGGACUGACAACGGAGCGUCGACCACUCCGAUCAGAGCUCCGCCGCAGGAAACUGACGGAGCCACAGACACUGUCUUUCAAAAUAAGAGUCUGAAGAGGAUAUCAGCUGUUUUCAGUUUCAGUUUGAGUUUUUAUAUUUUCUGUCUGAAAACCUGGAGCUGAAUUUGACUCCAGAGAGAAUAAAGAAAACUUCAUCCUGACACUUUA
Plectropomus leopardus (leopard coralgrouper) is the source of this 522-nucleotide non-coding RNA. Lineage: Eukaryota; Metazoa; Chordata; Actinopteri; Perciformes; Serranidae. The record is from RefSeq and is a predicted model, not a curated record.